Long non-coding RNA from Oncorhynchus tshawytscha (Chinook salmon), 521 nucleotides. NCBI's taxonomy places the organism in Eukaryota, Metazoa, Chordata, Actinopteri, Salmoniformes, Salmonidae. The record is from Ensembl.
ACCACCCCCACCAGAUCAUAGCCAUGCUCAGAGCCCUGCACCACCCCCACCAGAUCAUAGCCAGGUUCAGAGCCCUGCACCACCCCCACCAGAUCCUAGCCAGGCUCAUAGCCCUACAUCACCCCCACCAGAUCAUAGCCAGGCUCAUAGCCCUGCACCACCCCCACCAGAUCAUAGCCAGGUUCAUAGCCCUGCACCACCCCCACCAGAUCAUAGCCAGGCUCCGAGCCCUGCACCACCCCCACCAGAUCAUGGCCAGGCUCCGAGCCCUGCACCACCCCCACCAGAUCACAGCCAGGCUCAGAGCCCUACACCACUCCCACCAGAUCACAGCCAGGCUCAGAGCCCUACACCACUCCCACCAGAUCACAGCCAGGCUCAGAGCCCUACACCACUCCCACCAGAUCACAGCCAGGCUCAGAGCCCUACACCACUCCCACCAGAUCAUAACCAGGCUCAGAGCCCUACACCACUCCCACCAGAUCAUAACCAGGCUCAGAGCCCUACACCACUCCCACCAG